Molecule: ribosomal RNA, 254 nt
Filed under: uncultured bacterium
Lineage: Bacteria
Description: partial 16S ribosomal RNA
Rfam family: Bacterial small subunit ribosomal RNA
Source: RNAcentral
GACGAACCGUACGAACGUUAUUCGGAAUUACUGGGCUUAAAGGGUGCGUAGGCGGCGCAGUAAGUUGGGUGUGAAAUCCCUCGGCUUAACCGAGGAAUUGCGCCCAAAACCUACUGUGCUCGAGGGAGAUAGAGGUGAGCGGAACUUAGGGUGGAGCGGUGAAAUGCGUUGAUAUCCUAAGGAACACCGGUGGCGAAAGCGGCUCACUGGAUCUCUUCUCGACGCUGAGGCACGAAGCUAGGGUAGCAAACGGG